AUUGAACGCUGGCGGCAGGCUUAACACAUGCAAGUCGAGCGGGGUGAUGGUGCUUGCACUAUCACUUAGCGGCGGACGGGUGAGUAAUGCUUAGGAAUCUGCCUAUUAGUGGGGGACAACAUCUCGAAAGGGAUGCUAAUACCGCAUACGUCCUACGGGAGAAAGCAGGGGAUCACUUGUGACCUUGCGCUAAUAGAUGAGCCUAAGUCGGAUUAGCUAGUUGGUGGGGUAAAGGCCUACCAAGGCGACGAUCUGUAGAGGGUCUGAGAGGAUGAGCCGCCAGACUGGGACUGAGACACGGCCCAGACUCCUACGGGAGGCAGCAGUGGGGAAUAGUGGACAAUGGGGGGAACCCUGAUCCAGCCAUGCCGCGUGUGUGAAGAAGGCCUUAUGGUUGUAAAGCACUUUAAGCGAGGAGGAGGCUCUUUUGGUUAAUACCCAAGAUGAGUGGACGUUACUCGCAGAAUAAGCACCGGCUAACUCUGUGCCAGCAGCCGCAGUAA
Molecule: ribosomal RNA, 503 nt
Filed under: uncultured bacterium
Lineage: Bacteria
Description: partial 16S ribosomal RNA
Rfam family: Bacterial small subunit ribosomal RNA
Source: RNAcentral